Molecule: ribosomal RNA, 1353 nt
Filed under: Klebsiella pneumoniae
Lineage: Bacteria; Pseudomonadati; Pseudomonadota; Gammaproteobacteria; Enterobacterales; Enterobacteriaceae
Description: bacterial SSU rRNA
Rfam family: Bacterial small subunit ribosomal RNA
Source: RNAcentral
GCGGUAGCACAGAGAGCUUGCUCUCGGGUGACGAGCGGCGGACGGGUGAGUAAUGUCUGGGAAACUGCCUGAUGGAGGGGGAUAACUACUGGAAACGGUAGCUAAUACCGCAUAACGUCGCAAGACCAAAGUGGGGGACCUUCGGGCCUCAUGCCAUCAGAUGUGCCCAGAUGGGAUUAGCUAGUAGGUGGGGUAACGGCUCACCUAGGCGACGAUCCCUAGCUGGUCUGAGAGGAUGACCAGCCACACUGGAACUGAGACACGGUCCAGACUCCUACGGGAGGCAGCAGUGGGGAAUAUUGCACAAUGGGCGCAAGCCUGAUGCAGCCAUGCCGCGUGUGUGAAGAAGGCCUUCGGGUUGUAAAGCACUUUCAGCGGGGAGGAAGGCGAUAAGGUUAAUAACCUUGUCGAUUGACGUUACCCGCAGAAGAAGCACCGGCUAAAUUCCGUGCCAGCAGCCGCGGUAAUACGGAGGGUGCAAGCGUUAAUCGGAAUUACUGGGCGUAAAGCGCACGCAGGCGGUCUGUCAAGUCGGAUGUGAAAUCCCCGGGCUCAACCUGGGAACUGCAUUCGAAACUGGCAGGCUAGAGUCUUGUAGAGGGGGGUAGAAUUCCAGGUGUAGCGGUGAAAUGCGUAGAGAUCUGGAGGAAUACCGGUGGCGAAGGCGGCCCCCUGGACAAAGACUGACGCUCAGGUGCGAAAGCGUGGGGAGCAAACAGGAUUAGAUACCCUGGUAGUCCACGCCGUAAACGAUGUCGAUUUGGAGGUUGUGCCCUUGAGGCGUGGCUUCCGGAGCUAACGCGUUAAAUCGACCGCCUGGGGAGUACGGCCGCAAGGUUAAAACUCAAAUGAAUUGACGGGGGCCCGCACAAGCGGUGGAGCAUGUGGUUUAAUUCGAUGCAACGCGAAGAACCUUACCUGGUCUUGACAUCCACAGAACUUAGCAGAGAUGGUUUGGUGCCUUCGGGAACUGUGAGACAGGUGCUGCAUGGCUGUCGUCAGCUCGUGUUGUGAAAUGUUGGGUUAAGUCCCGCAACGAGCGCAACCCUUAUCCUUUGUUGCCAGCGGUUCGGCCGGGAACUCAAAGGAGACUGCCAGUGAUAAACUGGAGGAAGGUGGGGAUGACGUCAAGUCAUCAUGGCCCUUACGACCAGGGCUACACACGUGCUACAAUGGCAUAUACAAAGAGAAGCGACCUCGCGAGAGCAAGCGGACCUCAUAAAGUAUGUCGUAGUCCGGAUUGGAGUCUGCAACUCGACUCCAUGAAGUCGGAAUCGCUAGUAAUCGUAGAUCAGAAUGCUACGGUGAAUACGUUCCCGGGCCUUGUACACACCGCCCGUCACACCAUGGGAG